RNAcentral lists this ribosomal RNA (577 nucleotides) under Gaeumannomyces graminis. RNAcentral describes it as "SSU rRNA". It matches the Rfam family "Eukaryotic small subunit ribosomal RNA", at positions 44 to 625 of the family's 1831-position model. The record is from RNAcentral. Lineage: Eukaryota; Fungi; Ascomycota; Sordariomycetes; Magnaporthales; Magnaporthaceae. RNAcentral also lists the same sequence under 1 other name.
AUUAGCCAUGCAUGUCUAAGUAUAAGCAAUUAUACAGCGAAACUGCGAAUGGCUCAUUAAAUCAGUUAUCGUUUAUUUGAUAGUACCUUACUACAUGGAUAACCGUGGUAAUUCUAGAGCUAAUACAUGCUGAAAACCCCGACUUCGGAAGGGGUGUAUUUAUUAGAUUAAAAACCAAUGCCCUUCGGGGCUCACUGGUGAUUCAUGAUAACUUCUCGAAUCGCACGGCCUUGCGCCGGCGAUGGUUCAUUCAAAUUUCUGCCCUAUCAACUUUCGACGGCUGGGUCUUGGCCAGCCGUGGUGACAACGGGUAACGGAGGGUUAGGGCUCGACCCCGGAGAAAACGCCUGAGAAACGGCGUUUACAUCCAAGGAAGGCAGCAGGCGCGCAAAUUACCCAAUGCCGACACGGCGAGGUAGUGACGAGAAAUACUGAUACAGGGCUCUUUUGGGUCUUGUAAUUGGAAUGAGUACAAUUUAAAUCUCUUAACGAGGAACAAUUGGAGGGCAAGUCUGGUGCCAGCAGCCGCGGUAAUUCCAGCUCCAAUAGCGUAUAUUAAAGUUGUUGCAGUUAAAAA